UAGGGAAUCUUCGGCAAUGGGGGCAACCCUGACCGAGCAACGCCGCGUGAGUGAAGAAGGUUUUCGGAUCGUAAAGCUCUGUUGUAAGUCAAGAACGAGUGUGAGAGUGGAAAGUUCACACUGUGACGGUGGCUUACCAGAAAGGGACGGCUAACUACGUGCCAGCAGCCGCGGUAAUACGUAGGUCCCGAGCGUUGUCCGGAUUUAUUGGGCGUAAAGCGAGCGCAGGCGGUUUGAUAAGUCUGAAGUUAAAGGCUGUGGCUCAACCAUAGUUCGCUUUGGAAACUGUCAAACUUGAGUGCAGAAGGGGAGAGUGGAAUUCCAUGUGUAGCGGUGAAAUGCGUAGAUAUAUGGAGGAACACCGGUGGCGAAAGCGGCUCUCUGGUCUGUAACUGACGCUGAGGCUCGAAAGCGUGGGGAGCGAACAGGAUUAGAUACCCUGGUAGUCCACGCCGUAAACGAUGAGUGCUAGGUGUUGGAUCCUUUCCGGGAUUCAGUGCCGCAGCUAACGCAUUAAGCACUCCGCCUGGGGAGUACGACCGCAAGGUUG
RNAcentral lists this ribosomal RNA (550 nucleotides) under uncultured bacterium. RNAcentral's name for it is "bacterial SSU rRNA". It matches the Rfam family "Bacterial small subunit ribosomal RNA", at positions 355 to 896 of the family's 1533-position model. The record is from RNAcentral.